RNAcentral lists this ribosomal RNA (440 nucleotides) under uncultured bacterium. RNAcentral's name for it is "partial 16S ribosomal RNA". It matches the Rfam family "Bacterial small subunit ribosomal RNA", at positions 338 to 795 of the family's 1533-position model. The record is from RNAcentral.
CCUACGUGAGGCAGCAGUGGGGAAUAUUGCACAAUGGUGGAAACCCUGAUGCAGCGACGCCGCGUGAAGGAAGAAGUAUUUCGGUAUGUAAACUUCUAUCAGCAGGGAAGAAAAUGACGGUACCUGACUAAGAAGCCCCGGCUAACUACGUGCCAGCAGCCGCGGUAAUACGUAGGGGGCAAGCGUUAUCCGGAGUUACUGGGUGUAAAGGGAGCGUAGGAGGUGAUGCAAGUCAGAAGUGAAAGCCCGCAGCUCAACUGCGGGACUGCUUUUGAAACUGUAUGACUAGAUUGCAGGAGAGGUAAGUGGAAUGCCUAGUGUAGCGGUGAAAUGCGUAGAUAUUAGGAGGAACACCAGUGGCGAAGGCGGCUUACUGGACUGUAAAUGACGCUGAGGCUCGAAAGCGUGGGGAGCAAACAGGAUUAGAUACCCUUGUAGUC